UACGGGAGGCAGCAGUGGGGAAUAUUGCACAAUGGGCGCAAGCCUGAUGCAGCCAUGCCGCGUGUAUGAAGAAGGCCUUCGGGUUGUAAAGUACUUUCAGUCGUGAGGAAGGUGUUAAGGUUAAUAACCUUAGCAAUUGACGUUAGCGACAGAAGAAGCACCGGCUAACUCCGUGCCAGCAGCCGCGGUAAUACGGAGGGUGCGAGCGUUAAUCGGAAUUACUGGGCGUAAAGGGCACGCAGGCGGUUAAUUAAGUUGGAUGUGAAAUCCCCGGGCUUAACCUGGGAAUGGCAUUCAAGACUGGUUAGCUAGAGUCUUGUAGAGGGGGUAGAAUUCCAUGUGUAGCGGUGAAAUGCGUAGAGAUGUGGAGGAAUACCGGUGGCGAAGGCGGCCCCUGGCAAAAGACUGACGCUCAUGUGCGAAAGCGUGGGGAGCAAAC
Molecule: ribosomal RNA, 439 nt
Filed under: uncultured bacterium
Lineage: Bacteria
Description: bacterial SSU rRNA
Rfam family: Bacterial small subunit ribosomal RNA
Source: RNAcentral